UCGAGAAUCAUUCACAAUGGGCGCAAGCCUGAUGGUGCGACGCCGCGUGGGGGAUGAAGGGCUUCGGUUCGUAAACCCCUGUCAUCUGUGAGUAAGGCUCCCAAUAAAAGCUUGGGAGAUUGAUAUCAGCAGAAGAGGAAGGGACGGCUAACUCAGUGCCAGCAGCCGCGGUAAUACUGAGGUCCCAAGCGUUGUUCGGAUUUACUGGGCGUAAAGGGUGCGUAGGCGGCUAUAAAAGUUUGGUGUGAAAUCUCCGGGCUCAACCCGGAAACUGCAUUGAAAACUAGAUGGCUAGAGGAUCGGAGAGGAGAUUGGAAUUCUCAGUGUAGCAGUGAAAUGCGUAGAUAUUGAGAGGAACACCAGUUGCGAAGGCGGAUCUCUGGACGGUUCCUGACGCUGAGGCACGAAAGCUGGGGUAGCGAAGAGG
RNAcentral lists this ribosomal RNA (427 nucleotides) under uncultured bacterium. Its description in RNAcentral is "bacterial SSU rRNA". It matches the Rfam family "Bacterial small subunit ribosomal RNA", at positions 355 to 776 of the family's 1533-position model. The record is from RNAcentral.